GGCUCCAUAGUGUAGUGGUUAGCACGUCUGCUUUACACGCAGAAGGUUCUGGGUUCGUGCCCCAGGUGGAGCCA
Non-coding RNA from Pteropus alecto (black flying fox), 74 nucleotides. The record is from Rfam. Lineage: Eukaryota; Metazoa; Chordata; Mammalia; Chiroptera; Pteropodidae.